CUUUUUUUGAAAUUAAACUCGUUCUUGAUGUUGAUACUGUAAACGCCAUCUUGUGCUUGUUAGGAUUGUUGACUAAAAUUAUCUGAGUUGUUAUUAAGCCAAUUAUUCUGGUUAUUUUGGUUUUCUUGUAAAUUUGUUUACCUCGAAUGUUCAUUUUUAAAAAUUCAAGGUAAUCUGAUUACUCAUUUAGUUAGAAUUAAUUUCUUAAAUUAUUGACAGAUGACGUCUUUGUUAUUAGCUUUUUUCUGGUUUUGAUGGUGACAUCUAUUGGAUCAUGUUACUGUAAAAUCUGAUUCUUGUUGUUUAUUAUUACUUCAGCGAGUAUUGAUUGUCUUUAUUUUAUCCAGUUUUGGCGUUAAUUGGCAACCUUUCGUCUUGUUUUGCAUUCAUUUUUGAUUAUUAUUCUAUCGGAUCACAUUUUAUCUCUUUCUAUUUCUCUUUAAUUGACCCCAAUCUGGUAAUAAUCUUAUCCUGUUUUUGCUGUUAACUCACAAUUCCAAUGGACUCAGUUGUCAGUAGUUCAAUACCUAGUUCCACUUUGAUUCAAGAAAUAGCUCCGACUCCAAGUACCAGUCGAGAAGGUGGUGAUGAUCAAGCUCCUUUGGUUCAGUUGAAACUAGCCAAGCCUAAAAAAAGAAAAAAGGUCACAUGGGGAUCGGAGACUGUCGAUAAUGAACUGUUGGGUAAAAAAUCCUCUAAAUGCUGCUGUAUUUGGGAUAAACCGAAAGAAUUUGGUGAAAGCUCAGAUGAGGAAGAUGACGAUGAUGAAUGUAAAAAUUGUUAUGGACACAAGCAACGCAAAUGAACAUACGCUGUAUUUCCAAUCAUCCAUAUUGUGUGUAUAUUUAUCUACUUGAAAGGAACUCCAGUUCGGAUGUUUUUUCGUCUCUCUUACAAUUUGUGCUGUCAUCUUUAUCAACCUUAUCCAUUCACUUAUAAUCAAGCAAUCAAUCAACUGUGGUUUCUCUAUUUUUCUAUUCAAAAAAGACAAUCCCUCUUAAACUUGCUUAUUCACAUAAUUCAACAAACAGUCAAAUAGAUUUUUGAAUAAAUUGUAUAGCAGGUAAUCAUUAUAUUCAAAGCAAUCAUCACGAAGAAAAAUGAUUAACCUGGUCCAAGUCUCUAAUUUGUGAAUGAUAUUGGUUAUUUCAAUGUUAAAAAUGGAAUUUGUUUUCUUCUUCUUCUCCCUUUUCAAGUUAAAGAAGAGCAUUAUAAAGUCACAUUUAUUUAAAA
Molecule: non-coding RNA, 1233 nt
Organism: Tetranychus urticae (two-spotted spider mite)
Lineage: Eukaryota; Metazoa; Arthropoda; Arachnida; Trombidiformes; Tetranychidae
Source: RefSeq, a predicted model, not a curated record